RNAcentral lists this long non-coding RNA (9257 nucleotides) under Homo sapiens (human). RNAcentral describes it as "HSALNT0337507". The record is from RNAcentral. Lineage: Eukaryota; Metazoa; Chordata; Mammalia; Primates; Hominidae.
AUUCUUCUGCCAUCUCUGCUGCUACCAAUGCCUGGACCACCACUGCUGCCCUGACAAAAGACAAGAGCCACUGAGAUUCUUCCUACUGAUGCCCCUGGCCCAUCUGUGUCUUGCUAUUCUUACUUUGUUAUUUACCUCUUAGAGUUUCACCUAGACUUUUACGGUCCUUGUAGGAAAAGGCAGUUUCAUAUCCUAUUGACUCAAUUUCUCAGUGUGACUAUUUGACAAGAAGCUAUGCCAUCUAAGGUGGGUAGGUUCUAUGUUGCUCUUAUUACAUUGCCUUAGGCGAAUUCUAAAUCAGGUUAUACAGGCUUUUGAAGGGUGGCCUUGCAUGCCAACCAGUAUUUAUGACACUGGUUUUAGAGGGAAACACAUUCCAAAUUUCAAAUAGUAAGCUUAAAAGUGAACUGUUAGAGUAUGAUUCAUUUUAAGUAGGAACUAUUCUGGGAGCCGGAAGAACAGGUGCUAGCACCUGUUACAAGUGAAUUCUUAUCGAAACCACAGGGAGACCCUUUGGGUAGCCAGCUUAGAGUCCCUUCUCUACUGGGAGUGUAACUUCUCACACUAAGCCCCAGGCUCAGAGGGCAGACAAGCUGGAUUAGCUAGGGUUUGCUUCUCUGAUGUGGAAAAAAAAAUAGAUAUCUGGUAAUUUCCUUGGAUUCCUUUUGGACAUGAUCUUGUGUACAAAUCUGUGCCAAAUGAACUUAAUCUGCCAAGAGAGGAAAAGAAAAAUACCUUAAUCUAUGGAUCUAGCUACCAACUGAAGGAAGUCAAUAAGAAAAUAACUGGAAUCUUAGCAGGUUCUAGAAAAAGUAAGAAAAGAGGUAUAUGUUGUACAAGUAUGCAAUUAAACUAAGAGAAGUUUGGAGUAAUUAAAAGAUAAGCACAAAAAUACCUCACUUUCUACAUCAAAUGACAAAUAUUUAUAUCAAAUUUUUCAAAGAUAGGAAUGUUUAUCAUUUUAGACUAGGAAAGAUACAACACAGAAGACUCUAAUACUCAGAGGGUUUUCCAGUUCUGAGUAUCUUAUGUAUUUUUCCCCUGUUACUCUAAAUUUGUCAAACUGCACAAAUUGAUUCAUUAGAUUGAGUGUUAAGUCUACCUAAACUAGAAUGUGAUAGUGAUGGGCCAGUGACUUCUUUGGAGAAAUCUCUAAAACAUCUAUGCUGAUGAGUUUUGAAACUGGGUUCAGGGUGUCCUGAGACAUCUGGGAGUUGUUGAAAUAAAGUAUAUCUGUGGUGGAUUUAAGAAUUACUCUAUAUUUCAGGUCAUGAUAGGAGGGAUACUUAGCUCCCAAGUUUUAAAGAAUUUAGAAGAGUGCUGCCUUUCUCAAAUAUUGUUAUGUAAUUGAUUAUUCAGCAUGCCUUUUGUUAUGGGGUCCACACAGUAACAAUCUAUUUUCAGUGUCUGACCUUCACUAGCCCCUGAGCUCCAUGAAGACAAGAAUCAUGGCUUAUGGGAAUGCACAAUUGUUUGUUGAAUAAAUAAUUGAAUAAAUGAGAGAAAAAAAGAGUUUAUUGUGAGCAUUUUAUUAAAAAAAGCGAAAUGCUACUUCUUGAUAGAAAGAUUAAAUAAAGUCAUUUCCCAAUAAUAAAGUUAAAACAAAAUUUAAAAUAAUAUAAUGGACUGAAGUUUUAAGUUUGGUGGGAAAUCUGUGGCUUUAAGAAGGAAGAAAUAGACUAUACUUUUUAAAGAUAGAAAGCAUGGCAUGCCCUCCAAAAUUAACCUAGUGGAACAUGGUGUGUAAAGUCUCCCAAACCCAUCAAUUUUAGCCUUACUUUAUAGUAAUAAACACUUUUUAUUGCCAAAGUAAAUUAGGACAAUGAUCUGGGUAAAAUAAUGCUCUUGAGCUGGAUAAGAAAGACUUUGAUUUUCUUGCCAAAUUUAAAGCAAUGACCUUCGUUCUAAGUGUGAAAGCAGCAUAUCAUUGUUGUAUAAAGACAUGAGUGAACCCCACUGAAACUCUUCCACCGUGAGGUUCUGUCAUACCAGCUCAAAUAGUGAGUAAUCAGGAAUGGUUCAAUACAUUAAACAUUCUUUUGGCAUGGUGAUCCUUUUGUCAGGUCAGAAUCAUUAUGACUAGAACUGAAAAUUGAGUGCCAGUCAUGGCAGGAUAUUUAGAUUUCUUCAACCCAUGUAUCUUUUUACAUUGCCACUAUGUCUAUUUUCAAGAGGGAUGGUUCAGACUCAGGCUUAAAGGAUUAAAAAACUCUCUCCAGCACUUACAGUGAGGCUGUAGACAAGUUCCUGAGCCUUUCGGGGCCUCAAGUCCUUUGUAAGCUAGGGUAAUAAUUGUACCUGCCUCAUAAAAGAUUAAAUGGGAAAAUACUCAGUAAAUGUUGCUUUCUUUUAUUUUUCUCUGUGAUGAUUGUUUCAAACUCCAUUACCGUUUCUAGAUCUUUCAUUUCCUUAAGGUUUUCAGUAGUCAGCCCAAACUUUUAACAUUCCUCUUUGUGGAAAUCAUAGCAGCCUAAAGAGUCUAGUUUGCCAAAACUAUUUGCUACAUCUUAUAGAGAAAUUAAAUCAUGCUUGGGGUGUACCUGUGUGUCUGUAUAUAAAAGAGCCUCAACCCUGAGUCUUACCACAGUGAAAGCAGGUGGACCCCACUCUUGGCUAUGAGCCAAAUCCUAUUACUAGGCCUUAUUGAUUCCAGGCUGGCUACAGUUGCUUCCUCUUGUUGUUGCUUUUCCUUCUCACCUCUUAAGGGAGUUGGAAAACUCUAAAUUCAACUUAUGAAAGAAUAUGAAAGUGCUUCUAUUAUUUGUAUAUUUCCCAGAAACUAACCAUCUAGAAGUCAUUUCCUAAGUUAUAAAGAAACACUUUUUUUCCUGAAUUUUUCAUCACAUGAAUAAAACUGGGUUUUCCAUUAUGAUCAUACAACACAAACCACCAGACUGUAAAACUAACAUUUUUCAGUUGGGUUUCUUGCUUACUAUUUUCAAAGUGACUGUUUUCUUGUCCUGCGACAGUGUUCAGGGUGAGAACCACGGGCCAUAGCUGUUAAAGGUCUCUCAACUAGAAAAAUUUAAAUAUGCUCCAAUCCCUUCCAUCUUGAAAACAAGCAAACAAUAAAACCAAUAAUCCUGAUGGCUUUUCUAGCUACUACUUUACCUGUCCCAACUGCUUCACAGUUUCGACCACCUGCUUUCACGAGGAACAUUUAUAACCUCUUAAUUUUGAAAUUCAGUGACAUCUUUUGGGUCUUUGACUUAUUUGACCUGAUUUGUGUCUGACUCUGUUUAUCAUUUAAUUUUUUCGCCACUUGGUUCUGUGAUGCUGUGGCUUAGUAGGCCUGUCUCUGUUCUCAGCCCCUUUGCACACUUCCUAGUCUUUGAGGCUUUUCCCAAAGUUCAACCCUUAAGCCACUCUCUGUAGCUUUUCAGACUGUUUUACAGAAACCCACUCUAGGCCAGGCGUGGUGGCUCAUACCUGUAGUCCCAGCACUUAGGGAGGCCAAGGCAAUCAGAUCACUUGAGCCCAGGAGUUUGAGACCAGCCUGGGCAACAUAGUGAAACCCUGUCUCUACAAAAAAAUACAAAAAACAUUAGCCAGCUUGGUUUUCCUCUUUUCCGCCUCACAAAUGUCUACUGAUUACUGAAGAUCCACUGCAAGUGUCUCCACUGUCAGAGCUUCCUUAAUAACUCCUCCUCUCUUUCCUAUGGACUCUGUGGUAAUUUGUACUACAGCACUUUUCAUACUUCCUCCAAGCCCGGUAUUCUCUAAGAUCAUAAAACACAUUUGUGUACCUUUGCAUACAGCCCAGUGCCUGGUGUGUGAUAGGUGCAUGGUAAAUGAUUGUUGAAUAGGUUAACAGAUGACAUAAAUAGCAAAUUAUAGAUAUUGAAAUAGGAAAAAAUAGAUUUCACCAGGUUUUUUUUUCCUUAGUUUGUUUUUGAUGUGUUGUUUUGCAAAACGCUGUGAAAUAAGUGAGGACAUAAGAUGAUUACUGAACUAUUUCUGUUGAGCAAGUGGGUAAACCUCUCCUGGUAGAAGAAUCAGAACCUCAUCAGCCCAAGAGGCUGAGUCAUCUUUGUGACUGAGAGGUUCAUGCUUCACCUUAAGUCCUUGGUACCUAAAAUGGGACUGUAUGAUGUGCCCUGUGAAAUCAAUAAAACUGUCAGGUUAUAAUUAACGUGUGGUGCUACUCUAAUUAAACAGAAUUGAUGGGAAAUAUCUGGGAGUCUAGUAGCAAUGGAACAAUGAUGUUUGCAUUUAAAUGAUCUUAAGUACUCCUUAGACUUAAUGCCCUAUUAAGGGGACCGGGAGAAUGUCACAUCUCACUUAGCUGUAUUGUGUUAGACAGUGGCCGCUGGCCGGGAAGGACCAGAGUGCAUUAAGCUUGCGUUGUGGUGUCUGCCUUUGCAGACAGAAGAUUUGGGAAUGUAUAUUCUUUUCUUUUUUCUUUUUUUUUUUCUUCAAAGGAAAUUAAAUCACAGCCCUGACAGGAGAGGGUAAAAUCUCUGAGAAGACCUCCCCAGUGCUUGGAAUUUACAGACUCUACCACGUCCCAGUUUGCUAUUGUCCUAAGGCAACACACUCCCCUGCCGCUCUCAGGCGUCUUUGGCGGCUGGCCAGCCUCCCAGGGCCUCUGGCUUUGAUGUGUGGUGCAGGCUGUCCUCAGGCCAGGCUGUUGUUGCCGUGGCCUGGACUUCGCUCACACUGGAUGCCAGGAGGGAUGUCCUGUCUGCAAUAUACAUUUCGACAGCCUGACAGUCCUAGUGAUCGUCCUGCGGCAGGGGGAGCCUGCCUUUGUCUCAGCCACAAGUGGCUGUCCCCAGUCGCUUAGCUUUGCUGUGCUCUCUUUUGGUGUCUGCGGAAGACGAGUUUGCACCCAGCUUGUUGUCCGGGGGAGGGCCUCUCUGCCUGGGGAAGACAGCAGCUCUGCCAGGGCGCUGUCAAUCUGAGGAGCCUCCUUGGCAGGGCUCUGGGGAACCGACCCGGCGAGUUGAACAGCUUCCUCUGGGGACAUUGCAUCGACCUUCAUUUGAUUUAAGCCUGGCAGCCUGGUUAGUGAGGACAUCAAUUCUGGCUCGGGAAAUCUUCCUUAACUGAACCUUUGUUUCCACCAUGGUCCCAGGCUUGUAGUUAGAAGUCUGUGCUGUUGCAAAUUUAACUCUGUAACUUCUGGUAAUAUCCAUGUGUAAUUCUAAAAGCAGGUGACACAGAAACACAGAUGAUUAUAGUGAUAGGUACCAAGGAGAAAAAAAUGGGACUACGCCUAAUAAUUAGUCAAAAGACAUACGUAUAUAUACACACACACACUUUGAAGAGAGAAAGAGAGAGAGGGAGGGAGAGAGAACUUAUUGUUGAUUAAUUGUUUUCAGAAGAGCCACUUCAAUUCCAAUAAGAAUCACCUCAGAGAACUGAAAGUAAACCAUAUCUGCUUCUAGUGUCUAUGACACACCUUGCACUGUGCCUUAAUAGGAUUACUAAUAUUUCCCACAGAGGAGGAAGUCUUGCUUCUAUUCUUGCAAAACCCCUCCCCCAAAUCUGUCUCUUCACCAACAGUUAUUUGUUUGUAUUAAGUUUCAUGAUGUCCCAAGAUUUUUGUUUGUUUUUGCUGUUUUCUUAAUGUAAAUGUUUUCAUAAUGAGAACACGUUACAUUUUUGACAACCUAGCAUGAAAAAUCUUACCAGCUCUUUUCUGCAGUAGAUGCAGCGUGCAGCCUGCAAAGACCCCAUGUCCAGGUUAGGCCAGGUCACCUGAACAGGACCAGGAUAGAAAGGGGAAGAGAUUUGUAGAAGACACACUUCGUGGUCUCACUAGGGUGUGCCUGUUUGCAUUUUGUUUAUUGUUUUUGCAACCAUUCAUAUGUGUUUAUUGUUUUUGUAACCAUUCAUAAGUAGCAGUAAUUUAGCAUUCUCAUAUUAAUAUUUUUUUUCUUGUCACUAGUGAGUGUUUGCAUGUGUGUGUGCAUUGGAUUGACGGGAGGGAAGGUGACUCUGUUGGUACAUCCUGAAUACUAGGAUCUUGUUCGGCCCAAUCGCAGUGUUACAGGUAUCUUGUUAACAUUCAAGCCUUGAUGCUUUGAAAUAGCAGUUUUGCCGUAAUUCAUUGCCUAAAUUCUGACUUCCUUACUAAGAACAGGAAGCAUAGUGAAGUUUGGUAGGAGAGAAACAUACCUCGGACAGUAACUGUGGCUAAACCAUAGUCAUGGCAUUUAACAUUAAUGUGAAACAUAAGAUUUGUAAGUCUUCCAAGUACCAUUUCUUAAUGCUUACAAUAAGAUGACGAAUUUCAUAGUUCCCAAGAUGAAAAGAUGGAAAUAGAACUCAGUGAGAUUACUGACCUGACUUAGGAGAGCUAAAAUAUUAGGUUUCUCUUUCAAAUACUUCCUUCUUGCAGCUUGCAAGUAUGCUCAUCCCUCUGCAAUUCUCUUCAUUAAAAAAAAAAAGUUUAGAGAUUGAAUGUUUAUGUUUGUAUUGACCUGUGGAAUCCUCAGUUGCUUUUCUGUUGAAUCCAUUGUGCAAUACCCAACGUAUUGUGGGUUGGUAGGAAAAACUCUUUUAAGAUUAAAAAAAACACAUAAGGUAUAAUUCAUUAAUAAUUUCAUUCUGUUUCUGGAUAUGUUUUCUUCCCAUUGUCAGCCAGUGUGGGAGGAAAGAGAAGAAUGGAAGAAUAUUGCUGGAGUUGAGGGUGUUGUGUGGGUAUGUGCCAUCCGAAAGUAUGUUACAGGAGAAAAAAAUUCUUUUUAUAAUAAAAGUAAAAUUCAAGUACUCGAAGUAACAGAAGAUUAUUAAAUCUAUUGUAGUGAAAAGUUAUGAUUCUAAUGCUCUGAAAGUCUUAAUCAUUAAAGACAUAUGUUAACCAAAGGCAUACAUAUGCAUAAAUAUAUGUACAAAAAUGGUAAUUUUGUGCUCCCAGGCUCAAACCUAAAAUGUCAUUCAUAACACUAUUGCUGCUGCCAAUGGAGAAAAUUUGCAUAAGACUAAGGCAAAACUACCCAUUCUUUCCUGUCCUGGAAUAGAAUUAUAAUUUCCAAACCGACAAAUUUUAAACAAGGCCAGAGUUUCCUUUCACCUGGUUCAAAGUGAAUUCUGAUUAAAAGCUUCCAAUGAUAAUAUCUAUAACCACAAAGCAGGCUCACCGUAGCUUUCUCUUGUGGGAACUCUAGGCUCUCCCUUCUAGAAUUGCCCUUAGUGGUGGCCUGCUCUUUCUUUCUCUACAUCCACCCCUUCCCUUAACUUGGGGCUGCACACGUCCAGCUUGCUCUAUGAAGCCAUUUGCGACCACUCUAGUCCCCACAGAACUCUUCCUGUUCUCAACUCCUAUUAUCCUUAGAGUCUUUUUCACACAUUUAGCUUUUAUUUUUUUAAAACAUACUUUUUUUCUGUAUUAGCUCAGUCACCUGUUAUGUACUUUAUUAUAACAACUGGCACAGGUAACUAGUACUCUAUGGGAACACUGAAAAAUUCCUAAGUAGAUUGAAGUCACUGACCACUUAGACAACCAGUUAGAAAUGAGAGCAUAGUUGCUGCAAUACAGGUGAAAAACCUUUUAACAUAUUGCUUAAUGACUGGUUGUCUUAGGAAAUGGAAGACCUCUUACGAGGCAAGAAUUACAUAAUUUUAGAAAACAAUACCCUACCUAAGAAAUGAAGAGGGACUGAAAAAGACUUUUGCGUCACAAGAUUUGAAUUUCUGAAAUUCUAAAUGUUAUUCAUGAUUCUAAAAUUGUACAGCUUGUUACUUAAUUUUCCUCCAAAUAAACUGGAGCUAUUUUAAAACCUGAUGACUGAUAACGAACAAGAGAGGAAAGUGUCUAAUCAUCUGGGAAGACAGCUUCUAAACUAAACCCACUAAUAGUGUCUGCUUUACCUGUGAACAUCUUAAGACAAGAUGAUGUCAGGUGGUUUUUUAGCGAUAGCGUUGUAGUUUAUGUAGUGCCAACAACUGCCCUAAGCUUUGUCUAAAAUAAUCUCCCUUUGUCUAAAAUAAUCUCCACUGCCUAAGAACUUGAUAUGCUAGUGUAGCUUUUGAGCAUCCACCUGUCAACAUGGUCUUUACUCAAAGAGCUAGGUAUAUUUUCUCAAUUAAAUCAAAUACUUCUUUUGGUAAGGAAGGACUUCAUAUGGAAUCGUUUGCAGUAUAGGAUGGCUGUGUGAAGGAGCCUCUCAUUUUUCACUCUCCAUGCAAAACCUACACAGUGAAUCUUAGUGACUGAUCAUAUGCCUUGUUUCUAUGAUGGCAUGAAUUAAUAUUUGUGUAAUGACUUACUCUCUGUCUGCAAAUGGCUUCCAUGUACAUUAUCUCAUUUGAGGCAAUAGCUAUUAUGUAGUUAUUACUCACACUUUAUUUUGUGUAUAAGGGACCGGAGGCUUCAUGGUGGGGGGGUUGGUUUUAGUUGAGUAAUUUGCUUAAAGUCACAGCACUAGUGAGUCAUAGAACCAGAAUCCAACUCUGUUUCUCCCAUUUUUGGCUAACAUGUCAGUCACUACCAAGUCACCAGUCUAGUUAACUGGCAGUGUUCAAAUGUUGGAGCGUUGUGGAUGUGGCCACUAUGUUCUUUUUAUUAUGACUGACAUAAAGAAAUAGAAGCCAGCCGUAUCAAAAUCUGGGGGCAGAGUCAAAUCUUAUACUUUUAGGGAAUCUUGAGGUAGUCCAAGGAAUAAAAUGCUGUAGAAAGAUGUGGACUGUAAAUUUUCCAGACCUCUGUCAGUUAUCACCUUCUGGAAACUGAAACCUGAUGAUACCAAUUGUUAAGUUUACCCAAUCACUUCCCUGAUCUGAGAAUCUCAUGAUUUCCAAGCAAUAUCCCUUGUGGAUCAAGAAUGGCCUCUGGAGUUCCGGUUCCCUUGGCAGUUACAGUUUUCACUAUAAAUCCUUUAAUUGGAUAUUGGACAAAAUCCCCCACAUAGAGAUCUUUAUUUUAUGUUUGAAUCUGAUAUCACAUUGAUGUCUCACCCAUGAAUUGCCAAGAGAAAAAUUCGCUUUCUUAAUCGCAUUUUCUACCUCAUCUAUUAUUUGCAUUUUGGGUUAAUGCACUUUACUGACGUCGGAGUCUGGUUAAUAAUUUUAUUGUAGUAUUACUUCUCUUCAUGUUUGAGCUCCUUUGCCCGCAUCACCCCUUAACAAUUUAUACUUCUCUCAUGCCACUUUUUGUAUGCAUUUUUGUACUUGCACUUUAUAAUAAAGUAAUUUAUGUGAAGUUUUCCUGUCAUAUGCCUGCACUGUAAAUUGCUUGUGUCUUCUUUAUUCUUAAAAAUGGUGAUUGAAAAAAUAGUAGACAUUUAAUAAAUAUUUGUUGGGUUUAAUAA